RNAcentral lists this ribosomal RNA (292 nucleotides) under uncultured bacterium. RNAcentral's name for it is "partial 16S ribosomal RNA". It matches the Rfam family "Bacterial small subunit ribosomal RNA", at positions 773 to 1060 of the family's 1533-position model. The record is from RNAcentral.
GUGGAUUAGAUACCCUGGUAGUCCUAGCCGUAAACGGUGCAUGUUUGCUGUAAAAGGAAUCGACCCCUUUUGUGGCGUAGCCAACGCGUUAAACAUGCCGCCUGGGAAGUACGGUCGCAAGAUUAAAACUCAAAGAAAUUGACGGGGGCCUGCACAAGCGGUGGAGUAUGUGGCUCAAUUCGAUGCAACGCGAAGAACCUUACCUGGCCUUGACAUGUAUGUAGUAGAAGGGUGAAAGCCUGACGAGGUAGCAAUACCAGCAUACACAGGUGCUGCAUGGCUGUCGUCAGCU